GGGAAUGUAGCUCAAGUAGAGCUCCUACCUUUUGGUAAGUGAUAUGGGUUCAAAUCCUAACAUUCCUU
This is a non-coding RNA of Picea glauca (white spruce), 68 nucleotides long. NCBI's taxonomy places the organism in Eukaryota, Viridiplantae, Streptophyta, Pinopsida, Pinales, Pinaceae. The record is from Rfam.